This 1310-nucleotide long non-coding RNA is filed under the name Equus asinus (donkey). Its description in RNAcentral is "lncRNA (ENSEASG00005027308.1)". The record is from RNAcentral. Lineage: Eukaryota; Metazoa; Chordata; Mammalia; Perissodactyla; Equidae.
GGAAUCUGAAAACUGCAAUAGAGAAUGCCCACAUAGGCCCACAGCGACUACCUCUGUGCUUCACAACCAAAGACAUUUCUGGCAUUAAGGGCAAAAAAGAGCUUUCAUAGUAUCCUCUCUCCUAGCAAGGGCCCUACCUGCAAUGAAACAGAGCUGUUACCCAUCUUAAUUUCAGUGGGGCCAAUUUACGCAAAGGUUGAAUAAAUCCUGGGGUCAAUGAGAGCUGUAUUGUAUUAGGAAAAUAGAAGCCAUUCAGUAUAUUUCAGGUAAGAAGGACUUAGUAUAAGAAUUAAGGGCUUAACCGUUGGAAGAACUGGGGAAACAAAGGUCAGAGAAGUUCCCACAGGAGGUCGAGAACGCCAACACAGAUCUCAGCCAAAAGUUCCAGAGUUCUCAAGAGCUUGCCUGGAAGCUACUGCAAUUCUAAAGAACAUCGAUGUGAAAUCUCCAUCUUCCCACUCAUCUGGCUGCAACUGCCUACAGAGAAUAAUGUCUUCUCAUUUACCUUCCAAAUCUCAUGUCUUCUGGGUCUAUCUUUGAAAAGGAUGAGAUUUCUGAGCUUCAUCUUUCCGUAAGGAAUUAAGAAGUGAUGGAGAUUCCCCUUCACAAAAAGUGCCUGUAACUGCCCUGUGUUGAGUUGGCUGGUGCCCACGUUUGCUUAUGGAGGGGUGAGGAAGGAUAAGGAAGAGGAAAAUUGAGAGAAGCUGUGGGAUGGUGGGAGGUCAUCUAGAGAGAAGCUGGGUUGUUGAAUCCUGUGGGAGAGUUUUCACUGGGCUUGAAUUCGUUGCACAUGAACUCUGACUCAGAGAGGAGCUGGAUGGAACGUAAGACCCUGUGUUCAUUCCUUUAAUGUCCUCAGAGAGAGAUCCUUGGCCACAUUUGUUUUCCUGUUUGUGUUUUUUCACUUUUUUAUUGAAGUCUAACAAUACAGUAAAGUGCACAAAUCUUAAAUACACAGCUCAAUUAAUUUUUAUGAAUGUAUAAUGAAUUUUUAUGAAAUGAAUGAAUUUUUAUGAAACCACCGUCUAGAUCAAAAUAAAGAAUAUUUCUAGCACACCAGAAGGCUCCUUUGGGCCUCUUUCCAAUCACCCCACCUCCUACCCCAGAGGUAACCACUAUUCCAACUUUGUCUUGCCUGUUCUUGAACUUUGUGUAAGCAGAACUUGUGUCUGGCUUCUUUUAUUCAACUUUUAUGUCUGUGAAAUUUAUCCAUGUUGUCCCAUGUAUUAGUAGUUGAUUCUUUUUCACUGCUGUUUUCCAUUAUAUGACUACCACAAUUAAUCCAUUCUACUGUCAAUGUGCAGUUUGGG